UACGUAGGUGGCAAGCGUUGUCCGGAUUUACUGGGUGUAAAGGGCGUGCAGCCGGGCUGACAAGUCAGAUGUGAAAUCCCGCGGCUCAACCGCGGAACUGCAUUUGAAACUGUCAGUCUUGAGUACCGGAGGGGUCAUCGGAAUUCCUUGUGUAGCGGUGAAAUGCGUAGAUAUAAGGAAGAACACCAGUGGCGAAGGCGGAUGACUGGACGGCAACUGACGGUGAGGCGCGAAAGCGUGGGGAGCAAACAGG
Molecule: ribosomal RNA, 253 nt
Filed under: uncultured bacterium
Lineage: Bacteria
Description: partial 16S ribosomal RNA
Rfam family: Bacterial small subunit ribosomal RNA
Source: RNAcentral